CCUACGGGUGGCAGCAGUGGGGAAUAUUGGACAAUGGGCGAAAGCCUGAUCCAGCCAUGCCGCGUGUGUGAAGAAGGCCUUCGGGUUGUAAAGCACUUUCAGUGGGGAAGAAAGCCUUGGGGUUAAUACCCUCGAGGAAGGACAUCACCCACAGAAGAAGCACCGGCUAACUCCGUGCCAGCAGCCGCGGUAAUACGGAGGGUGCGAGCGUUAAUCGGAAUUACUGGGCGUAAAGCGCGCGUAGGCGGUCUGAUAAGCCGGUUGUGAAAGCCCCGGGCUCAACCUGGGAACGGCAUCCGGAACUGUCAGGCUAGAGUGCAGGAGAGGAAGGUAGAAUUCCCGGUGUAGCGGUGAAAUGCGUAGAGAUCGGGAGGAAUACCAGUGGCGAAGGCGGCCUUCUGGACUGACACUGACGCUGAGGUGCGAAAGCGUGGGUAGCAAACAGGAUUAGAUACCCCGGUAGUC
RNAcentral lists this ribosomal RNA (465 nucleotides) under Vreelandella stevensii. RNAcentral's name for it is "partial 16S ribosomal RNA". It matches the Rfam family "Bacterial small subunit ribosomal RNA", at positions 338 to 795 of the family's 1533-position model. The record is from RNAcentral. Lineage: Bacteria; Pseudomonadati; Pseudomonadota; Gammaproteobacteria; Oceanospirillales; Halomonadaceae.